RNAcentral lists this ribosomal RNA (778 nucleotides) under uncultured Neocallimastigales. Its description in RNAcentral is "partial large subunit ribosomal RNA". It matches the Rfam family "Eukaryotic large subunit ribosomal RNA", at positions 26 to 629 of the family's 3401-position model. The record is from RNAcentral. Lineage: Eukaryota; Fungi; Neocallimastigomycota; Neocallimastigomycetes; Neocallimastigales.
CGCAUCUGUGCAUGCAGCAUAUCAAUAAGCGGAGGAAAAGAAACUAACAAGGAUUCCCCUAGUAACGGCGAGUGAAGCGGGAAGAGCUCAAAUUUGAAAUCUUAAAGGGUUUCCCUUUACGAAUUGUAGUUUAAAGAAGUGCUUUUCUGUUGAGGUUUUGGUAAAAGUUCUUUGGAAUAGGACAUCAUAGAGGGUGAGUAUCCCGUAUUUGACCUUUACUUUCAACUUUGUGAUACACUUUCAAAGAGUCGGAUUGUUUGGGAAUGCAGUCCAAAAUGGGUGGUAAAUUUCAUCUAAAGCUAAAUAUUGGCGAGAGACCGAUAGCGAACAAGUACCGUGAGGGAAAGAUGAAAAGAACUUUGAAAAGAGAGUUAAACAGUACGUGAAAUUGUCAAAAGGGAAGCGUUUGACACCAGUGUUGUUUUUCUGAAAAUCAAUUAAAGAACUGUUUAUGCUAAGCUUGUUUAGACUUUAUCAGCUAUCUGUUUAGUUUUGAGCUUUUCUUUAAUGCACUUUUCAGUUAACAAGUCAACAUCAAUUUCUUUUGCUGUAAAAAAGCUUGAGGGAAGGUGGCUUGAGAUUCGUCUUAAGUGUUUAUAGCCUCUUGCCUAUGCAGUCGGAGAGAUUGAGGUCUGCAGCGUAGAUCCUUCGGGGCUAAAUGCAUUUGUGCUAAGUUAUAGCAUUUUCAUAGACAACUUGUUGACUAUGAUUUGUCUUGUAGCUUACUCGCUUAUGUUAUUUUACCUACGCUUAGGAUGUUGACAGCAGUAUAGACUGU